GCCGGCAUGGACAUCCUGGCCUACUUCACCGGCGAAUAUGGCCCCACGGCGCCCCGUCUUCUCUUGAAGGUCGCUGCCGAUGCCAGAGGAUUCGUGCUUGCCGGCAUCCAGAUAUGCCCCAGACGGGCAGCGGCCUCUUCAAUCUCAUGGAUCUUUCUCCUUUACCGGAGAAACACUCAACCUGAUAAAUCUUCUCAGUUUUGAAGUUAAAGUUAAUCCACAGAGUUUGCGAAUAAAACAUUCAUAGUUGAUCAGAAGCUUUUACUGAAGGGACAUCAGGAGGAUGUGUCCUUCCAAGCAUCGGAUGGAUCACUACUGAGAAAUGGAACAAGAUUUCUUAUUGGCAAUCUAAAUCUCACGAUGAAGUCGAUAAUUUGAAGAGAGAUGGUGCAGCUCUAAAUACGGAUUAUUUUUGUGAAGAGGAACAAGAUACAUACGUAUGGAAACACGGCUACAAUUUCGGUUUUUUUAAACUUGAGUCUCUGGUUGUAUCUGCAUCUGGUGUCACUAACGGAGGUUUGUCUGUUCAGAGCAUCUAUCUUAUAUACAUGUUCUUCUGAUUGCCGGAGAAGCCCACACCAAUAAGUUGAUUACCGAUAUGUAUGCAUUAUUACAUCUAUUGUGACCAACAUGCGAAAGAUGUAGCUGAACAUCAUUUGAACAUAUUCCAUGGAAUUAGGGACUAAAUCUAACACUUUGUUUCAGGCCAAAGAGUAGAGUUCCAUGUGGGUUAAUAUCGUGGUCAACAGCAAGGCAUCUCACCACAUACCGGAUUUGUGAUACCGGAGCACCGAAUCUCCAGUGGAUAGCGUGCCGGUUAUCUGGCGUCUAGCAAGGGCUGUUGGGGCGCCUCUUUGUCAAAGAAACGAAGUCCUCACAGUAGGGCACACCUACAAAAACACCAUGGCGCCAUUCCUCUGUUGGUCUUCUGCUACGGGUGCGUCGCUUGGAAGACCACCAUGUCGAAGCUGGGUCAUGGUGGUCACUCCGAGGGACAUAUGCAGCUUGGCUUCAAGUCCAAAGUAUCAAAAGAGAAGCAACUUGCAUACUUCAUUGGUCAAGAAUGUCUCACGCAAGUCUCAUCCUUGGAAAGUCCUUGCAUGUAUUGGCCAGAUUUGGGAGAAUAGAGACCAGCAAACACGACAGAAGUGAGAAAAAUACAAUGAAGGGAUCCACACCAGCUAACUGCAUAGACCAGACUGAAAGAAGGUUCAGUUAACACUACCAUAUCAAUCUAGCUUCACAAACAGAAGACAAGAGAAUAGAAGCAGACCGAACAUACAUCUUCUGUGCAUUUAAUCCACUAGGUUCAGUCGCCAAAAGUAACAUAUAGUACCCCUACCUAUAUAUCCUGCUAUCAGUGUGUUGUAAAAUAAGUAAUAUAAUAAUUUUUUCUAGGUUUUCAUGGGUGGUGUUCAUGUGUUCCUGUGCCCAUUGGGUCUUCAGACCUCCUCCAGCACACAUGUAAGAAUGCACUCAUAUUUACAGGUACAAAAUUAUGCCAUGACACCAAGCCUCUAGAAACGAAAAUAUAGUAGCUGCCGAAUUCACCAUCGUUGGCCCCUGGGAUUUGGGAUUUCUGCUUGCAGGAAACGAUGAAUUCAGCUGUUGUUAUGUCUAUGGUUUACCAUUUUCUUUCCCUAUUCUCUUUCAUUCAUGUUGUAUAUGGCUUAAUCAAUUAGUCUAAUCAAUGCUACCUUUUAUAUAUUUUCCUCUUUCAA
Lolium perenne is the source of this 1721-nucleotide long non-coding RNA. RefSeq lists it as uncharacterized. The record is from RefSeq and is a predicted model, not a curated record. NCBI's taxonomy places the organism in Eukaryota, Viridiplantae, Streptophyta, Magnoliopsida, Poales, Poaceae.